This 497-nucleotide ribosomal RNA is filed under the name uncultured bacterium. RNAcentral's name for it is "partial 16S ribosomal RNA". It matches the Rfam family "Bacterial small subunit ribosomal RNA", at positions 28 to 507 of the family's 1533-position model. The record is from RNAcentral.
GAUGAACGCUGGCGGCGUGCCUAAUACAUGCAAGUCGAGCGAACAGACGAGGAGCUUGCUCCUCUGACGUUAGCGGCGGACGGGUGAGUAACACGUGUAUACCCUACCUAUAAGACUGGGAUAACUUCGGGAAACCGGAGCUAAUACCGGAUAAUAUAUUGAACCGCAUGGUUCAAUAGUGAAAUACGGUUUUUCUGUCACUUAUAGAUGGAUCCGCGCCGCAUUAGCUAGUUGGUAAGGUAACGGCUUACCAAGGCAACGAUGCGUAGCCGACCUGACAGGGUGAUCGGCCACACUGGAAGUGGGACACGGUCCAGACUCCUACGGGAGGCAGCAGUAGGGAAUCUUCCGCAGUGGGCGAGAGCCUGACGGAGCAAGGCGGCGUGAGUGAUGAAGGUCUUCGGAUCGUAAAACUCUGUUAUGAGGGAAGAACAAAUGUGUCAGUAACUAUGCACGUCUUGACGGUACCUAAUCAGAAAGCCACGGCUAACUACGUG